RNAcentral lists this ribosomal RNA (467 nucleotides) under uncultured bacterium. RNAcentral describes it as "bacterial SSU rRNA". It matches the Rfam family "Bacterial small subunit ribosomal RNA", at positions 330 to 793 of the family's 1533-position model. The record is from RNAcentral.
UCCAGACUCCUACGGGAGGCAGCAGUGAGGAAUAUUGGUCAAUGGGCGAGAGCCUGAACCAGCCAAGUCGCGUGAAGGAUGACGGCCCUACGGGUUGUAAACUUCUUUUGUCAGGGAGCAAUUGGGUCCACGCGUGGGCUUAGCGAGAGUACCUGAAGAAAAAGCAUCGGCUAACUCCGUGCCAGCAGCCGCGGUAAUACGGAGGAUGCGAGCGUUAUCCGGAUUUAUUGGGUUUAAAGGGUGCGUAGGCGGUCCGGAAAGUCGGGGGAAAAAGCCCGGGGCUCACCCCCGGCGAGCCGUUGAAACUGGUUUUCUUGAGUGAGCGAGAAGUAUGCGGAAUGCGUGGUGUAGCGGUGAAAUGCAUAGAUAUCACGCAGAACUCCGAUUGCGAAGGCAGCAUACCGGCGCUCAACUGACGCUCAUGCACGAAAGUGUGGGUAUCGAACAGGAUUAGAUACCCGCGUACG